CGUGUAGGCGGUCAAGUAAGUGGAAUGUGAAAUCCCUCGGCUUACCCGAGGACCUGCAUCCCAAACUGCUUGGCUUGAGUAUGGGAGAGGAUGAGGGAAUUCCUGGUGUAGCGGUGAAAUGCGUAGAUAUCAGGAGGAACACCGGUGGCGAAAGCGCUCAUCUGGCCCAAUACUGACGCUGAGGCGCAAAGCUAGGGAGCAAACG
Molecule: ribosomal RNA, 205 nt
Filed under: uncultured bacterium
Lineage: Bacteria
Description: partial 16S ribosomal RNA
Rfam family: Bacterial small subunit ribosomal RNA
Source: RNAcentral